This 301-nucleotide ribosomal RNA is filed under the name uncultured bacterium. RNAcentral describes it as "partial 16S ribosomal RNA". It matches the Rfam family "Bacterial small subunit ribosomal RNA", at positions 509 to 808 of the family's 1533-position model. The record is from RNAcentral.
CAGUAGCCGCGGGAAUACGUAGGGGGCAAGCGUUGUCCGGAAUUAUUGGGCGUAAAGCGCGCGCAGGCGGUCAAGUAAGUCUGGUGUUUAAUCCCGGGGCUCAACCCCGGAUCGCACUGGAAACUGGUUGACUUGAGUGCAGAAGAGGAGAGUGGAAUUCCACGUGUAGCGGUGAAAUGCGUAGAGAUGUGGAGGAACACCAGUGGCGAAGGCGACUCUCUGGGCUGUAACUGACGCUGAGGCGCGAAAGCGUGGGGAGCAAACAGGAUUAGAUACCCCAGUAGUCCCUGUCUCUUAUACA